Lagopus leucura (white-tailed ptarmigan) is the source of this 1147-nucleotide long non-coding RNA. RefSeq lists it as uncharacterized. NCBI's taxonomy places the organism in Eukaryota, Metazoa, Chordata, Aves, Galliformes, Phasianidae. The record is from RefSeq and is a predicted model, not a curated record. The transcript has 2 exons.
UUUAAUUGUCCGGGCCCCUAAUGACAUGCAGAGAUGGCUCAAAGGCAGCGGACAUCAAAGCGCAAGGGGAUGGCACGUCGGGCAGGACAGGACAGCCGCUCUGCCCCGCUUGCCAAAAGAACAUCUCCUGCCCCAAACCGCCCCGAUGGUUUCUGCUGCCGAGCGGUGCGGCCAGGCGGCCCCGGCAGGAUUGUAUGCAAAAGCGGUCGGUGGGGAUCCUAAAAAAAACCGGACAGCUCAGGGUGAGAUGAGUCUAAUUAUUGCUGGUUCUAAAAAGAGCUGGAACACCCAAGUAGGGCUUAACUCGUCUCCUGGGAAACUGAUGGAGACCUAUUUUACAAGCUGUAAUUCUGCUUUAGACUAUUGCAGGCUAAAGGCAGUUGACACUAUCCUCUUUCUUCUAGAAAUAGUCCUAAUCCUAUAUUUCGGCCGGGGAAAGUCCGCUUCUGCUCCACACUAGAUUAAUCCAGAAACCACAUAAAACCAGCAGGCGGCAAGAAAGCCCUCGACGUGCCAUUUACCUUAUGGAUUUCUGCAGCCGGAGCCUUGCUGCUGCCAGCAAUCUGCCUGCACGGUCAGUGCAAGAACAGCUGGGACAGGACUGAGUUCUGACAGGUUUUUCACUCUUGCAAGCAACGCAAAGAUUGAAGCUCUCCUUUGCCUGGCUGGAAAGCAGACAGCUACUCCAGUGCCCAGCAGUGAUUCCCCUUCCCACCCCAAUGCCCAGCAGGGGUUUCCUUUCCCACCCCAUCACCGACAGCACCAACACUGAAGGAGGCUGAGGACCCUGAGAUGCUUUGCAGCCUCCUGCACGGCGGGGAAGCAGCCUGUGGUGUGUGAGCACUUGCACUCACCUUCACCGCCCUUUCUUGAUUUUAAUAACAGCACAGGGGAUCAGUGUCAAGGACAGAUGGGGCCAACCUCUGAGCCGUGCUGAGCGCGCUGCUGCCGUGUGUGCGUCCCCUAUGAAACCCCAGAUCCCCAUCUCUGAUUGCCUCUUUGUGUCUGUACUUGUGUGCAAUACCUGCGUUACGCUUCAGUAGACUCGGCAACGGGCAGAAGUGCUAUCUCUGCCUCGAGGAUAUUUGAGAAGAUGCUUCUCUGGGAUGGAUCCUUUUAGGAAAAAAAUAAAUUGUUAAAACGCUUC